AUUGAACGCUGGCGGCAUGCUUUACACAUGCAAGUCGGACGGCAGCACAGAGAAGCUUGCUUCUUGGGUGGCGAGUGGCGAACGGGUGAGUAACAUAUCGGAACGUACCGAGUAGUGGGGGAUAACUGAUCGAAAGAUCAGCUAAUACCGCAUACGUCUUGAGAGGGAAAGCAGGGGACCUUCGGGCCUUGCGCUAUUCGAGCGGCCGAUAUCUGAUUAGCUAGUUGGUGGGGUAAAGGCCUACCAAGGCGACGAUCAGUAGCGGGUCUGAGAGGAUGAUCCGCCACACUGGGACUGAGACACGGCCCAGACUCCUACGGGAGGCAGCAGUGGGGAAUUUUGGACAAUGGGCGCAAGCCUGAUCCAGCCAUGCCGCGUGUCUGAAGAAGGCCUUCGGGUUGUAAAGGACUUUUGUCAGGGAAGAAAAGGCUGUUGCUAAUAUCAGCGGCUGAUGACGGUACCUGAAGAAUAAGCACCGGCUAACUACGUGCCAGCAGCCGCGGUAAUACGUAGGGUGCGAGCGUUAAUCGGAAUUACUGGGCGUAAAGCGAGCGCAGACGGUUACUUAAGCAGGAUGUGAAAUCCCCGGGCUCAACCUGGGAACUGCGUUCUGAACUGGGUGACUAGAGUGUGUCAGAGGGAGGUAGAAUUCCACGUGUAGCAGUGAAAUGCGUAGAGAUGUGGAGGAAUGCCGAUGGCGAAGGCAGCCUCCUGGGAUAACACUGACGUUCAUGCUCGAAAGCGUGGGUAGCAAACAGG
RNAcentral lists this ribosomal RNA (759 nucleotides) under Neisseria cinerea. Its description in RNAcentral is "bacterial SSU rRNA". It matches the Rfam family "Bacterial small subunit ribosomal RNA", at positions 28 to 776 of the family's 1533-position model. Lineage: Bacteria; Pseudomonadati; Pseudomonadota; Betaproteobacteria; Neisseriales; Neisseriaceae. The record is from RNAcentral.